This 332-nucleotide ribosomal RNA is filed under the name uncultured bacterium. RNAcentral's name for it is "bacterial SSU rRNA". It matches the Rfam family "Bacterial small subunit ribosomal RNA", at positions 568 to 898 of the family's 1533-position model. The record is from RNAcentral.
CACGCAGGCGGUCGUGUAAGUUUGGGGUUACAGCUCCCGGCUCAACUGGGAGAGCGCCUUGAAGACUGCAGGACUUGAGGGCCAGAGAGGGACACAGAAUUCCGGGUGUAGUGGUGAAAUGCGUAGAUAUCCGGAGGAAUACCAAAGGCGAAGGCAGUGUCCUGGUUGGUGACUGACGCUGAGGUGCGAAAGCUAGGGGAGCGAACGGGAUUAGAUACCCCGGUAGUCCUAGCUGUAAACGAUGACCACUAGGUGUGGGAGGUAUCGACCCCUUCCGUGCCGCAGCUAACGUGAUAAGUGGUCCGCCUGGGGAGUACGGUCGCAAGAUUAAA